GUGCUGGCUUCGGGAGCACAUAUAGUAAAACUGGAACAAUACAGAGAAGAUUAGCAUAGCCCCUGCGCAAGGAUGGCAUGCAAGUUCGUGAAGCAUUAUAUAUCUUU
Saimiri boliviensis boliviensis (Bolivian squirrel monkey) is the source of this 107-nucleotide small nuclear RNA. Lineage: Eukaryota; Metazoa; Chordata; Mammalia; Primates; Cebidae. The record is from Ensembl.